UGACCCCAGGUCAGGCGGGGCCACCCGCUGAGUUUAA
Molecule: ribosomal RNA, 37 nt
Filed under: Cypripedium irapeanum
Lineage: Eukaryota; Viridiplantae; Streptophyta; Magnoliopsida; Asparagales; Orchidaceae
Also listed under: 1 other name
Description: partial 26S ribosomal RNA
Source: RNAcentral